Molecule: non-coding RNA, 245 nt
Filed under: Clostridium sp.
Lineage: Bacteria; Bacillati; Bacillota; Clostridia; Eubacteriales; Clostridiaceae
Description: T-box sequence
Rfam family: T-box leader
About the family: Uncharged tRNA acts as the effector for transcription antitermination of genes in the T-box leader family. T-boxes are found upstream of many aminoacyl-tRNA synthetase genes and some amino acid biosynthetic genes usually in Gram-positive bacteria.
Source: RNAcentral
AAUAAUGCUAUGAUGAGAAGAGUAAGUUAAGAAAAGCUUACAGAGAGAAACCUCCUUGGGUGGAAGAGGUUUUAAGUAGAUCUUAAUGGAAGUGCAUCUCUGAGCUCUGAAUUGAAAAGAAGUAGGUUUCAGCGGGAACGCCCGUUAAAGCGUUGAGGUAUAUUAGUACCAAUAUAUUAAUGAGAUAUCAUUCAAAUGAAUGGUAAUCAGAGUGGAACCGCGUAGUAUUAAACUUCGUCUCUGAA